This is an RNA transcript of Dipodomys spectabilis (banner-tailed kangaroo rat), 2900 nucleotides long. It is a transcript of the gene named erythrocyte membrane protein band 4.1 like 5, with no coding region annotated. The transcript has 26 exons. NCBI's taxonomy places the organism in Eukaryota, Metazoa, Chordata, Mammalia, Rodentia, Heteromyidae. The record is from RefSeq and is a predicted model, not a curated record.
CCGGCGGCGGCCAGGGGCCUCCCCGGGAUUAGCGCAGGGUGGGCGCGCACCGCGGGCCGCCAUUUCUUGGCGCCUCGGCGUCUGGUGGGGAGCCGCCCCCUCCUCAGCCUCGCUGCAGACCGCUGCCCUCAGGUUGCCGGAGAGCCACGUCCCUUUCGCUGUCCCGCCAUCGGCUCCCAGCCCAGUGACAAAAAUGCUGAGCUUCCUGCGUAGAACUCUUGGGCGCAGGUCUAUGCGUAAACAUGCUGAGAAGGAACGGCUCCGAGAGGCACAAAGAGCAGCCACACACAUUCCUGCAGCUGGAGAUUCAAAGUCCAUCAUCACCUGUCGGGUGUCCCUUCUGGAUGGUACAGAUGUUAGUGUGGACUUGCCGAAAAAAGCCAAAGGACAAGAGCUGUUUGACCAGAUUAUGUAUCACUUGGACCUGAUUGAAAGUGACUAUUUUGGUCUGAGAUUUAUGGAUUCCGCCCAAGUAGCACAUUGGUUGGAUGGUACAAAAAGCAUCAAAAAACAAGUCAAAAUUGGUUCACCUUAUUGUCUGCAUCUUCGAGUUAAGUUUUAUUCCUCGGAACCAAAUAAUCUUCGUGAAGAAUUAACUCGGUAUUUAUUUGUUCUUCAGUUAAAACAAGAUAUUCUCAGUGGAAAAUUAGAGUGUCCCUUCGAAACAGCAGUGCAGUUGGCAGCUUAUAAUCUUCAAGCUGAACUUGGUGAUUAUGAUCUUGCUGAACAUAGUCCUGAACUUGUCUCUGAGUUCAGAUUUGUGCCUACUCAGACUGAAGAGAUGGAGCUGGCUAUUUUUGAAAAAUGGAAGGAAUACAGAGGACAGACACCGGCACAAGCUGAAACCAAUUAUCUGAAUAAAGCCAAAUGGCUUGAGAUGUAUGGAGUUGAUAUGCAUGUGGUUAAAGCUAGAGAUGGAAAUGACUAUAGUUUGGGACUUACCCCAACAGGAGUCCUCGUUUUUGAAGGAGAGACCAAAAUCGGCUUAUUUUUUUGGCCCAAGAUAACCAGAUUGGAUUUUAAGAAGAAUAAAUUAACACUGGUGGUUGUAGAAGAUGAUGAUGAGGGCAAAGAACAGGAGCACACAUUUGUUUUUAGACUGGAUCAUCCAAAAGCAUGCAAGCAUUUAUGGAAAUGUGCUGUGGAACAUCAUGCCUUCUUCCGCCUCCGAGGACCUGUCCAAAAGAGUUCUCAUCGCUCUGGAUUUAUUCGACUAGGAUCACGGUUCAGAUAUAGUGGGAAAACUGAGUAUCAGACCACAAAAACUAAUAAAGCAAGGAGAUCAACAUCCUUUGAAAGAAGACCAAGCAAACGAUAUUCUCGACGAACUUUACAAAUGAAAGCGAGUACCACAAAACCUGAAGAACUAAGUGUUCACAAUAGUGUUUCAACUCAGAGUACUAACUCCCAACAGGCUUGGGGUGUACAGUCUUCUCCACCUGUGAUUCCUUCCACAUUUUCUGCUCCGGUGCUGGUAGAGAUAGAGAAUCUUCCACAGAGUUCUGGAACAGACCAACACAACAGGAAAUGCUUGCCUCUGAGUAUUGAUUUGCUCAAUAGUCCAGACUUGUUAAAAACAACUGUUGGUGAUAUAGUUGGGGCAUCAGAUACUGUGGAAACAACCCCAGCACUGGAUGAUAUUAACAAAGCCUCCAGACCAGCUGGAUUAGAGGAACCUGAAAUGGAGUGUCAAACAUUGAAAGAUGCCACAGAGAAACUCAAACAGAUUGAGGUGGAGAAUAAUUCUCUGUCAUCCCCACCAUCAAACACUGAUGUUAACAUCAACAGUCAGGAAGAAGUGGUGAAGUUGACUGAGAAAUGUCUCAAUAAUGCCAUUGAGAGCCCAGGACCAAAUGCCAUAAGGUUUCCUACUGACUUCAAGAGUAACAUUUUAAAGGCUCAAGUAGAAUCUGUGCAGAAGGUUACAAGAGAAGAUAGCUUAAGUCAUAAAAAUGCCAGUGUUCAGGAUACUACCACAAUCAGUGCUGUAUUAAAUGAGAAUAAUGUGCCCCUCUGCCAAGAUUCUCAUGCUGUGCUACAUACCACAGCUGCAGACAAUGGUUCUAUUCUAAAGGAUGCUACAGAUGAAUUGGAUGCCUUACUCCUGUCUCUAACUGAGAAUCUAAUUGACCCCACAGUCACACCUCAGGUGUCCUCAGCAUCCAUGAUCACACCCCGUUGGAUUAUUCCAAGCAGUGCCUUUUCGAAUGGGCUUACAGGAUGUGGAUCAUCUUUGGAAGGGACAGAGGGACAUGGUAAUAAAGACAGAAUCUCCAUGAUCUCUACCCCAGCACCAUUCUUGGUAGACGCUGUAACCAGCUCUGCUCCAAGUUUGGCAAGAGACCCUGUUUUGAAGCAGAAGUGUUUACUGACCACUGAGCUCUAAGGGGCUGCCUUUCCCCCAACACUUGUAACUGGAAUGCUCAGCACUCUCCAGCAACCGUCCUGGAAUAUUUUUGAGCUGGAAUGUGUUGGACUCUGGAGCUUGUCCUGUACUUUUAGGUAAAAGUGCUCUACCUGGAUUUGACUUUAGCUCCAUUUAAAAAAAGAAACUAAAAUUUCCGUCCGACUGGAAGUUUAAUCACACUACAAUCUGCUCAACGGAGGGUAUCUGGUCCUUUACUUUCUCAAUUAUUAGAGUCUUCAAAUUCCUGAAUCAAGGCAGUUCCCUGCUGUUUCCUCCAACCUCUUGGCUCCACCUAGCGGUUAUGUGUUCAUAGUGACUUCACAGCAAGGCAACUCGGGUUAGCUACAUCCCUUUGAUUACUAUGUGUUCCUGAUCUGAAUGCCUAAGAAAUGGCACUUUCCCAUACAUUAUCUGGGAAAAAUCAGGAAGGUGUGGUAGAUAGUAUGUUGGUAGAUUUGGGGCAGCUGUGUGUGUGUGUGUGUGCCAGCCUGGG